UGCCAGCCGCCGCGGUAACACGGGGGGCGCAAGCGUUAAUCGGAAUCACUGGGCGUAAAGCGCGCGUAGGUGGUUGUUCAAGUCGGAUGUGAAAGCCCUGGGCUUAACCUGGGAACUGCAUUCGAAACUGGAUAACUAGAGUGUGGUAGAGGGAAGUGGAAUUUCAGGUGUAGCGGUGAAAUGCGUAGAUAUUCGGAGGAACACCAGUGGCGAAGGCGGCUUUCUGGACCGAUACUGACGCUGAGACGCGAAAGCGUGGGGAGCAAACAGGAUUAGAUA
RNAcentral lists this ribosomal RNA (279 nucleotides) under uncultured bacterium. RNAcentral's name for it is "partial 16S ribosomal RNA". It matches the Rfam family "Bacterial small subunit ribosomal RNA", at positions 506 to 784 of the family's 1533-position model. The record is from RNAcentral.